Long non-coding RNA from Oncorhynchus tshawytscha (Chinook salmon), 409 nucleotides. NCBI's taxonomy places the organism in Eukaryota, Metazoa, Chordata, Actinopteri, Salmoniformes, Salmonidae. The record is from Ensembl.
AAGAAAUGUUUCCUGAUGGGUGGAGGUCUCAGGAAGCAGUGGCCAUGGUCCUCCCUCCAGCCAGGCUGACCCCCACCCUGCUCCAGCCAUGCCACUCCAUAUUUGAGGAUGCUCAGAGGGUCCUCCGGAAGGUCUAAUGACAUGAGAAUGUUUAAACCUCUCCUGCAACAGGGACACCACAGAGGAAGUCAGAAUUAAGAAAACAGUGGAUGCAUGGAUCAACGCCCUGAGUAAGGAUAUCCAGAAACCAGCAAGCAUUUGGUUGGAUGACGUAUGGUUGGAUGAUGCCGAUAUUUCAGAAUAAGACUGUUGCUCAGAGGAGAGUUAAAGACUUGGUGAAAGAGUCUGUGUUACCCCAGAAAGACAAACUGAUAACACCACCACCUCCAGGCUUAAAGAUGUGAAGACC